This 26-nucleotide microRNA is filed under the name Homo sapiens (human). RNAcentral's name for it is "hsa-miR-12128". Lineage: Eukaryota; Metazoa; Chordata; Mammalia; Primates; Hominidae. The record is from miRBase by way of RNAcentral.
UUCAGGGAUGGCGCAUGAAGAGGAGA